This 254-nucleotide ribosomal RNA is filed under the name uncultured bacterium. RNAcentral's name for it is "partial 16S ribosomal RNA". It matches the Rfam family "Bacterial small subunit ribosomal RNA", at positions 524 to 777 of the family's 1533-position model. The record is from RNAcentral.
UACGAAGGGGGCUAGCGUUGCUCGGAAUUACUGGGCGUAAAGCGCACGUAGGCGGCUUCUUAAGUCGGUGGUGAAAUCCUGGAGCUCAACUCCAGAACUGCCUUCGAUACUGGGAAGCUCGAGUUCGGGAGAGGUGAGUGGAACUGCGAGUGUAGAGGUGAAAUUCGUAGAUAUUCGCAAGAACACCAGUGGCGAAGGCGGCCAACUGGUCCGGUACUGACGCUGAGGUGCGAAAGCGUGGGGAGCAAACAGGG